GGAGGGCUGGCAGAGCGGUAAUGCGUCCGUUUCGAAAGCGGCAGCCGGGGCGGGAGUCCCGCGGGGGUUCGAUCCCCUCGCCCUCCG
RNAcentral lists this transfer RNA (87 nucleotides) under Brachybacterium tyrofermentans. Its description in RNAcentral is "tRNA-Ser". It matches the Rfam family "tRNA". From Rfam's summary of the family: Transfer RNA (tRNA) molecules are approximately 80 nucleotides in length. Their secondary structure includes four short double-helical elements and three loops (D, anti-codon, and T loops). Further hydrogen bonds mediate the characteristic L-shaped molecular structure. tRNAs have two regions of fundamental functional importance: the anti-codon, which is responsible for specific mRNA codon recognition, and the 3' end, to which the tRNAs corresponding amino acid is attached (by aminoacyl-tRNA synthetases). tRNAs cope with the degeneracy of the genetic code in two manners: having more than one tRNA (with a specific anti-codon) for a particular amino acid; and 'wobble' base-pairing, i.e. permitting non-standard base-pairing at the 3rd anti-codon position. RNAcentral also lists the same sequence under 1 other name. Lineage: Bacteria; Bacillati; Actinomycetota; Actinomycetes; Micrococcales; Dermabacteraceae. The record is from RNAcentral.